Molecule: ribosomal RNA, 400 nt
Filed under: uncultured bacterium
Lineage: Bacteria
Description: bacterial SSU rRNA
Rfam family: Bacterial small subunit ribosomal RNA
Source: RNAcentral
GGGGAAUAUUGGACAAUGGGCGCAAGCCUGAUCCAGCCAUGCCGCGUGAGUGAUGAAGGCUUUAGGGUUGUAAAGCUCUUUCGCCGAUGAAGAUAAUGACGGUAGUCGGAGAAGAAGCCCCGGCUAACUUCGUGCCAGCAGCCGCGGUAAUACGAAGGGGGCUAGCGUUGUUCGGAAUUACUGGGCGUAAAGCGAGCGUAGGUUGUGUCGCAAGUCAGUGGUGAAAUCCCGGAGCUUAACUUCGGAACUGCCAUUGAAACUGCGAUGCUAGAAUCUCGGAGGGGGUAGCGGAAUUCCAAAUGUAGGGGUGAAAUCCGUAGAUAUUUGGAGGAACACCGGUGGCGAAGGCGGCUACCUGGACGAGUAUUGACACUGAGGCUCGAAAGCGUGGGGAUCAAAC